Molecule: long non-coding RNA, 436 nt
Organism: Papilio xuthus (Asian swallowtail)
Lineage: Eukaryota; Metazoa; Arthropoda; Insecta; Lepidoptera; Papilionidae
Exons: 2
Source: RefSeq, a predicted model, not a curated record
AUUAUUUUCAAGUGAUAAUACCAUUUAUCAAUUAAAUUAUAAUGCAGCGCCCUAAUAUGGAUCCUCGCUUACCAGGUGCCCCAGUACAAUCCGGUGGCUUCCCUUCAAGACCUAACCCCUGUUUCGGACCUAGGCAACACCCUCUAUCACCUUGCUUCGGACCCUCUGCGGCACCGGCGAGGCAACCCUUCGCAUCCAACCCUUGCCUCGCCCCUGCACCGACACUCCGCAAACCGAAUCAAGAACCCGGUUUACCACCGCGAUACGGGCCCUGUUUCUAAAACUAUUAUAAAACUUAAUUAUUAUUGUAAUUAGGAAUCUCGACUUGUCUCGUCCGUCUCGGUCGUUUUGUAAAUUCUACCAUGUGAGCUUAAAGUUUAAAUAAAUAUUUGUUAAUAAAUAUUUUAACCGACUUCAAAAAAGGAGUAGGUUCUCA